Non-coding RNA from Picea glauca (white spruce), 528 nucleotides. NCBI's taxonomy places the organism in Eukaryota, Viridiplantae, Streptophyta, Pinopsida, Pinales, Pinaceae. The record is from Rfam.
UUCACAUCGACGAGAAGGUUUGGAACCUCAAUGUUGGAUAUUUUCCACCUGGGGUGGUAGUACAUUCCAAGGGUUGGGUUGUUCACCCAUUAAAGUGGUACGUGAGUUGGGUUCAGAACAUCGUGAGACAGUUCAGUCCAUAUCCGGUGCAGGCGUUAGAGCAUUGAGAGGACCUUUCCCUAGUACGAGAGGAUCGGGAAGGAUGCACCUUUGGUGUACUAGUUAUCAUGCCCAUGGUAGACGCUGGGUAGCCAAGUGCAGAGUGGAUAACUACUGAAAGAAUAUAAGUAGGAAGCCCACCCCAAGAUGAGUUCUCUUCUAUUCUUACUUCCCUGAGAUCCCUAGUCGUGAACACGGUUGGGACAAUGACGGGUUCUCUGUCCUUGCAGGGGAUGGAGUGACAAAAGUAUUGAGAAUCCAAGAUAAGGUCACAACGAGACGAGUCGAUUAUAAUUAUGAUAGGUUUCAAGUGGAAGUGCAGUGAUGUAUGCAACUGAGGCAUCCUAAUGGACCGAGAUAUUUGAACCU